GCGAGCGCUUAAAGCCUGUGAUAUGCAGAGUAUGCAAUCAGGGCUGCUUCCACGCCACAUGCGGGGGGUGGGGAGCCACACAACAGAUUCAUACCCAUAGCAAAUCAACGUCCCUUUUCAGAUCGGAAAGGGAGAGUGUGGGAUAAAGGAGGAGGAAGAAAGAGAGGGAGAGAGAAAGAGGCAGAGAGAGAAAGACAGAGAGGACCUCUUCCAAGAUUAAAGCCAUUCUUAAGAGCAGCGGCUAUACUCCAUGGCUGACUUGGCCGGGACUCGACGAAAAGCGCGUCUGGUGUCUUUCUUUGCUAUUGGAAUGCCACCCGGAUCUCGAAGUUACCUAGAAAACGUACAAUAAAUAUAUACGGCACGGUCAGUUGCAUGGCGUUUCUGUGUCUGCGAAGAGGCUUAAAAUAAAGAGGCAGAAUAAUCCCACCCCAUCCCUCUAAAUCGGCUAAUUCUCAGGACUGGCCAGCUGAGAC
Long non-coding RNA from Euleptes europaea (tarantolino), 476 nucleotides. RefSeq lists it as uncharacterized. NCBI's taxonomy places the organism in Eukaryota, Metazoa, Chordata, Lepidosauria, Squamata, Sphaerodactylidae. The record is from RefSeq and is a predicted model, not a curated record. The transcript is spliced from 3 exons.